AGUGAACGCUGGCGGUAGGCCUAACACAUGCAAGUCGAACGGCAGCACAGAGGAGCUUGCUCCUUGGGUGGCGAGUGGCGGACGGGUGAGGAAUACAUCGGAAUCUACUCUGCCGUGGGGGAUAACGUAGGGAAACUUACGCUACUACCGCAUACGACCUACGGGUGAAAGCAGGGGAUCUUCGGACCUUGCGCGACCGAAUGAGCCGAUGUCGGAUUAGCUAGUUGGCGGGGUAAAGGCCCACCAAGGCGGCGAUCCGUAGCUGGUCUGAGAGGAUGAUCAGCCACACUGGAACUGAGACACGGUCCAGACUCCUACGGGAGGCAGCAGUGGGGAAUAUUGGACAAUGGGCGCAAGCCUGAUCCAGCCAUACCGCGUGGGUGAAGAAGGCCUUCGGGUUGUAAAGCCCUUUUGUUGGGAAAGAAAUCCAUCUGGUUAAUACCCGGGUGGGAUGACGGUACCCAAAGAAUAAGCACCGGCUAACUUCGUGCCAGCCGCCGCGGUAA
RNAcentral lists this ribosomal RNA (506 nucleotides) under uncultured bacterium. RNAcentral's name for it is "partial 16S ribosomal RNA". It matches the Rfam family "Bacterial small subunit ribosomal RNA", at positions 29 to 523 of the family's 1533-position model. The record is from RNAcentral.